This 85-nucleotide transfer RNA is filed under the name Pedosphaera sp. RNAcentral's name for it is "tRNA-Ser". It matches the Rfam family "tRNA". From Rfam's summary of the family: Transfer RNA (tRNA) molecules are approximately 80 nucleotides in length. Their secondary structure includes four short double-helical elements and three loops (D, anti-codon, and T loops). The record is from RNAcentral. Lineage: Bacteria; Pseudomonadati; Verrucomicrobiota; Pedosphaerae; Pedosphaerales; Pedosphaeraceae.
UGGCUGAGCUCGGUUUAAGGUACCUGACUCGAAAUCAGGCGAUGGAGAAAUCCAUCCGGGGGUUCGAAUCCCUCCCCUUCCGCCA